GCACUGGUGGUUCAGGGGUAGAGUUCUUGCCUUCCAUGCUGGAGACGCAGGCUCGAUUCCUGCUCAGUGCA
RNAcentral lists this transfer RNA (71 nucleotides) under Loxodonta africana (African savanna elephant). It matches the Rfam family "tRNA". From Rfam's summary of the family: Transfer RNA (tRNA) molecules are approximately 80 nucleotides in length. Their secondary structure includes four short double-helical elements and three loops (D, anti-codon, and T loops). The record is from Rfam by way of RNAcentral. Lineage: Eukaryota; Metazoa; Chordata; Mammalia; Proboscidea; Elephantidae.